This 466-nucleotide ribosomal RNA is filed under the name uncultured bacterium. Its description in RNAcentral is "partial 16S ribosomal RNA". It matches the Rfam family "Bacterial small subunit ribosomal RNA", at positions 28 to 507 of the family's 1533-position model. The record is from RNAcentral.
GACGAACGCUGGCGGCGUGCUUAACACAUGCAAGUCGAACGGAAAGGCCCUGCUUGCAGGGUACUCGAGUGGCGAACGGGUGAGUAACACGUGGGUGAUCUGCCCUGCACUUCGGGAUAAGCUUGGGAAACUGGGUCUAAUACCGGAUAGGAGCCAUCUUUAGUGUGGUGGUUGGAAAGUUUUUUCGGUGUAGGAUGAGCUCGCGGCCUAUCAGCUUGUUGGUGGGGUAAUGGCCUACCAAGGCGGCGACGGGUAGCCGGCCUGCGAGGGUGUACGGCCACAUUGGGACUGAGAUACGGCCCAGACUCCUACGGGAGGCAGCAGUGGGGAAUAUUGCACAAUGGGCGCAAGCCUGAUGCAGCGACGCCGCGUGGGGGAUGAAGGCCUUCGGGUUGUAAACUCCUUUCGCUAGGGACGAAGCUUUUUUGUGACGGUACCUAGAUAAGAAGCACCGGCUAACUACGUG